UCCCUCCUCUAUGAUGACUCUAGUUUGUGUCAAGUUGACAUGAACUGACCAGUACACAGGGAGUGAGCCAAAAGGCCAUGGAAACAAAAUUGAAGAGGUAUAUCAGAAGUUGCAGAAGGUAAGUAAAGGCAUUUCACUACAUUUCCUAUGAGCCAAUGUUAUUACAUCUAGAAACCACUAGAGGGCGCGAGCUGUGCAAAUGUGUGUGCAGGUUUCCUCUUUGUGGCUACUUGAAUUCUUCCGUGUGGCAGUCACCUAUGGAAUAACAUGUUCCAGUGCGUGCUACUCCAUAAAGACGUUGUCACAACGCUGCCUAGACAUCUUAGUACCCACAGCGGGAAACUAACUUUCAAACUCUUUUUUUUUCCCUACAAUGGAGGGUUUAUGGAAACUUUUACGAGUAACUCAAAACUCACUGAACGUGUGUUCAUUUGUUUGUUGUGACAAUGCUGUUACUAAUUAUCACCGCGCCGUGCAUUAAGAGCUAUUAAGGGUUCUUCAAAGUUACCAUCUCCGAGAUAGACGCCUCUGCCUUCCCUAGAAUCAAAACUCUUCCAGACUGAAAAGUGACUUCUCAUGGGGAUUUCCAUAACUAUAAACCCCGAGCUAUAGAGGUGUGAGGAGAAGAUAAGGGCUCCUUUUGUAGCCAGACACAACAAGAGCCAUUGAAUACCUGACUGCCAGUCCAUCUUCUCCUUGUUCUCCGCUCAACUUCAUAACCAUGAUCACAUAGGAUGCUGUCUAAAUACGGAAAGGCGGAGCUGUUGGUGGGAGGUUUAUGGAGCUCCCCAGCCGCAGUGCCUUUGUUCCUAGAUCACAGUCUGUUGCUGAGUAUUAAGCAUUGCCCCACCACAGGUGCUCAGACCACGGAAAAGAUGAAUUUUCUAGACGUGGAGUCUGGCUCAGAUGAACCUAAUCAAGGUCCAGAGCUUGCAAGUGACAAAGAGGCUCCUUCCUAGAAGGGCUGUACUGGCAGGUGCAGUUCAGCAACUAAACAGAAGUUCACAACCGAGUGCCAAUCGGUCUAUGCUAAGUGAAAACCAGAAACAGAUCCCAGUCCUUCCCACGAGACGUGAGUGAGAGAUGAAAAUAAAGACUUACCGCUCUCACAGCCUGAAGACUUCGAGCCUACAAAGACUACUCCUAAAGAGAGAAGCUAAACCUACCUCCUUGAUCCAGCCAUAGCCUUAAGCCCUGCUACCUUGUUUUACAUGUAUGCAAUAACCCUGCCUUCAUGUCCAGCUGUAUACAAUAACCCACCUCCCUAUUCAACUCUGUAUGAUAAACAUGUUGAAAUCCAAGGGGCUAGGGUUUCCCUAGACCGCCCAACCCCACUGUGUGUGUGUGUGUGUGUGUGUGUGUGUGUGUGUGUGUGAGAGAGAGA
Long non-coding RNA from Mus musculus (house mouse), 1384 nucleotides. RefSeq annotates it as predicted gene, 54184. The record is from RefSeq and is a predicted model, not a curated record. Lineage: Eukaryota; Metazoa; Chordata; Mammalia; Rodentia; Muridae. The transcript has 3 exons.